GACGAACGCUGGCGGCGUGCCUAACACAUGCAAGUCGAACGGAACUGUUUUGAAAGAUUUCUUCGGAAUGAAUUUGAUUUAGUUUAGUGGCGGACGGGUGAGUAACGCGUGAGUAACAUGCCUUCAAGAGGGGAAUAACAUUCUGAAAAGAAUGCUAAUACCGCAUGACAUAUCGGAACCACAUGGUUUUGAUAUCAAAGAUUUUAUCGCUUGAAGAUGGACUCGCGUCCGAUUAGUUAGUUGGUGAGGUAACGGCUCACCAAGACCGCGAUCGGUAGCCGGACUGAGAGGUUGAACGGCCACAUUGGGACUGAGACACGGCCCAGACUCCUACGGGAGGCAGCAGUGGGGGAUAUUGCGCAAUGGGGGCAACCCUGACGCAGCAACGCCGCGUGAAGGAUGAAGGUUUUCGGAUUGUAAACUUCUUUUAUUAAGGACGAAAAAUGACGGUACUUAAUGAAUAAGCUCCGGCUAACUACGUG
RNAcentral lists this ribosomal RNA (482 nucleotides) under uncultured bacterium. RNAcentral's name for it is "partial 16S ribosomal RNA". It matches the Rfam family "Bacterial small subunit ribosomal RNA", at positions 28 to 507 of the family's 1533-position model. The record is from RNAcentral.